Eurytemora carolleeae is the source of this 157-nucleotide long non-coding RNA. RefSeq lists it as uncharacterized. The transcript has 3 exons. The record is from RefSeq and is a predicted model, not a curated record. NCBI's taxonomy places the organism in Eukaryota, Metazoa, Arthropoda, Copepoda, Calanoida, Temoridae.
GCGCCUUGAAUUUCUAGUAUUAUAAAUUAGUACAAACUUAUUUUCUAGGAAGAUCUUGAGAAUUCAAGAUUUCAACCUUUGCUUAAUCUUUUUCUAAGUCAAAACGCGGAAAUCACUUCUGUAGAGAAAACACAAUUUAAGGAUGUUUGGGGUCAAG